CUUAUUUAUGUAAAAGUUUCAUGGAUGAAAAACCUUUCAACUAUUGACCUGCAAGCCACACUCACAACUCACGAAUGUCUGGACUGGAUCCACAGAACUACCUUCUAAUGAAGCAACAAUGCGUAUACUUUGAAGAUCACUCACUGGAGUCCGGUCUUUUUCUUUUCCAGAAGUCCAGAUGGAAAGAACAGUCAACAACACUCAAUUAAAGUAGAUUUAUGUUUCAGACAUCCUGGGAUAUUGCCCGAAGCUGCAGGUUUUUCGGGAACUCCAUGCUAAAUCUUCCACUGCGGUCCUUUACAAAAUUCCUACAUCACCAAGACAGGCAACGUCGCCUUGAUGCGGGGACCUGUUGUGGGACUUCGCACAACAAUCUCAUUAUCCUGUGGGCCUACAGCCAUUAUUAGUGGUAACAGAGCC
This is a long non-coding RNA of Cottoperca gobio, 420 nucleotides long. NCBI's taxonomy places the organism in Eukaryota, Metazoa, Chordata, Actinopteri, Perciformes, Bovichtidae. The record is from Ensembl.